UACGGAGGAUUCGAGCGUUAUCCGGAUUUAUUGGGUUUAAAGGGUGCGUAGGCGGACUGAUAAGUCUGCUGUGAAAGUUUACGGCUCAACCGUGAAGUUGCAGUUGAAACUGUUAAUCUUGAGUAUACAUGAGGUAAGCGGAAUUUGUAGUGUAGCGGUGAAAUGCUUAGAUAUCACAAAGAACUCCAGUUGCGAAGGCAGCUCACUGGAGUAUAACUGACGCUGAUGCACGAAGGUGUGGGUAUCAAACAGG
RNAcentral lists this ribosomal RNA (253 nucleotides) under uncultured bacterium. RNAcentral describes it as "partial 16S ribosomal RNA". It matches the Rfam family "Bacterial small subunit ribosomal RNA", at positions 524 to 776 of the family's 1533-position model. The record is from RNAcentral.